RNAcentral lists this long non-coding RNA (258 nucleotides) under Olea europaea (common olive). RNAcentral's name for it is "long non-coding RNA (OEUR_LNC006111)". Lineage: Eukaryota; Viridiplantae; Streptophyta; Magnoliopsida; Lamiales; Oleaceae. The record is from RNAcentral.
AGAAUCUACAUCAUGUUGCGUAUAGAAGUCCCUAAACAUCCUACAUGACUCAGGCAUUUCUACAUCGACCAAAUUUGAUUUACUUGGUUUUUCUCCAUGAAAUAUCCAAUCAGUGUACGUAGGAUCCAUACCCUUAAUAAUCAAAUGUUCAUAUACUAUUUCAUAGUUGUGAUGCUUUAGAUUCCUACACUUAAUACAAGGGCAUCCUAUCAUUUCUGAAUUUAGAGUUUCACAAGCUAGUUCUAUAAACUUCCGUGC